This 495-nucleotide ribosomal RNA is filed under the name uncultured bacterium. Its description in RNAcentral is "partial 16S ribosomal RNA". It matches the Rfam family "Bacterial small subunit ribosomal RNA", at positions 28 to 507 of the family's 1533-position model. The record is from RNAcentral.
GACGAACGCUGGCGGCGUGCCUAAUACAUGCAAGUAGAACGCUGAAGGAGGAGCUUGCUUCUCCGGAUGAGUUGCGAACGGGUGAGUAACGCGUAGGUAACCUGCCUGGUAGCGGGGGAUAACUAUUGGAAACGAUAGCUAAUACCGCAUAAGAGUAGAUGUUGCAUGACAUUUGCUUAAAAGGUGCAAUUGCAUCACUACCAGAUGGACCUGCGUUGUAUUAGCUAGUUGGUGGGGUAACGGCUUACCAAGGCGACGAUACAUAGCCGACCUGAGAGGGUGAUCGGCCACACUGGGACUGAGACACGGCCCAGACUCCUACGGGAGGCAGCAGUAGGGAAUCUUCGGCAAUGGACGGAAGUCUGACCGAGCAACGCCGCGUGAGUGAAGAAGGGUGUCGGAUCGUAAAGCUCUGUUGUAAGAGAAGAACGAGUGUGAGAGUGGAAAGUUCACACUGUGACGGUAUCUUACCAGAAAGGGACGGCUAACUACGUG